RNAcentral lists this unclassified non-coding RNA (348 nucleotides) under soil metagenome. Its description in RNAcentral is "partial contains 5.8S ribosomal RNA, internal transcribed spacer 2, and large subunit ribosomal RNA". The stretch from base 1 to 120 matches the Rfam family "5.8S ribosomal RNA", at positions 35 to 154 of the family's 154-position model. The record is from RNAcentral.
GAUGAAGAACGUAGCAAAAUGCGAUAAGUAAUGUGAAUUGCAGAAUUCAGUGAAUCAUCGAAUCUUUGAACGCACAUUGCGCCCGCUGGUAUUCCGGCGGGCAUGCCUGUUCGAGCGUCAUUUCAACCCUCAAGCCCCCGGGUUUGGUGUUGGGGAUCGGCUCUGCCCUUCUGGGCGGUGCCGCCCCCGAAAUACAUUGGCGGUCUCGCUGCAGCCUCCAUUGCGUAGUAGCUAACACCUCGCAACUGGAACGCGGCGCGGCCAUGCCGUAAAACCCCAACUUCUGAAUGUUGACCUCGGAUCAGGUAGGAAUACCCGCUGAACUUAAGCAUAUCAAUAAGCGCAGGA